This 253-nucleotide ribosomal RNA is filed under the name uncultured bacterium. Its description in RNAcentral is "partial 16S ribosomal RNA". It matches the Rfam family "Bacterial small subunit ribosomal RNA", at positions 524 to 776 of the family's 1533-position model. The record is from RNAcentral.
UACGGAAUGUGCAAACGUUAUUCGGAAUCACUGGGCUUAAAGAGUCCGUAGGCGGCACGUUAGGUGAGGUGUGAAAUCCCCCGGCUCAACCGAGGAAUUGCGCUUCAAACCGGCGUGCUUGAGGAAGAUAGAGGUGGGCGGAACUGAUGGUGGAGCGGUGAAAUGCGUUGAUAUCAUCAGGAACACCGGAGGCGAAAGCGGCCCACUGGGUCUUUUCUGACGCUGAGGGACGAAAGCUAGGGGAGCGAACGGG